AUUGAACGCUGGCGGCAUGCCUUACACAUGCAAGUCGAACGGCAGCACGGGUGCUUGCACCUGGUGGCGAGUGGCGAACGGGUGAGUAAUACAUCGGAACAUGUCCUGUAGUGGGGGAUAGCCCGGCGAAAGCCGGAUAAAUACCGCAUACGAUCUACGGAUGAAAGCGGGGGCCCUUCGGGCCUCGCGCUAUAGGGUUGGCUGAUGGCUGAUUAGCUAGUUGGUGGGGUAAAGGCCUACCAAGGCGACGAUCAGUAGCUGGUCUGAGAGGACGACCAGCCACACUGGGACUGAGACACGGCCCAGACUCCUACGGGAGGCAGCAGUGGGGAAUUUUGGACAAUGGGCGAAAGCCUGAUCCAGCAAUGCCGCGUGUGUGAAGAAGGCCUUCGGGUUGUAAAGCACUUUUGUCCGGAAAGAAAUCCUUGGCCCUAAUACGGUCGGGGGAUGACGGUACCGGAAGAAUAAGCACCGGCUAACUACGUG
Molecule: ribosomal RNA, 486 nt
Filed under: uncultured bacterium
Lineage: Bacteria
Description: partial 16S ribosomal RNA
Rfam family: Bacterial small subunit ribosomal RNA
Source: RNAcentral